UACAGAGGGUGCGAGCGUUAAUCGGAAUUACUGGGCGUAAAGCGCGCGUAGGCGGCUUUGCAAGUCGGGUGUGAAAUCCCCAGGCUUAACCUGGGAACUGCAUUCGAGACUGCAUUGCUAGAGUAUGGGAGAGGAAAGUGGAAUUUCCGGUGUAGCGGUGAAAUGCGUAGAUAUCGGAAGGAACAUCAGUGGCGAAAGCGACUUCCUGGACCAAUACUGACGCUCAUGUGCGAAAGCGUGGGGAGCAAACAGG
This 253-nucleotide ribosomal RNA is filed under the name uncultured bacterium. RNAcentral's name for it is "partial 16S ribosomal RNA". It matches the Rfam family "Bacterial small subunit ribosomal RNA", at positions 524 to 776 of the family's 1533-position model. The record is from RNAcentral.